GAUGAAGAACGCAGCGAAAUGCGAUAAGUAAUGUGAAUUGCAGAAUUCAGUGAAUCAUCGAAUCUUGAACGCACCUUGCGCUCCUUGGUAUUCCGAGGAGCAUGCCUGUUUGAGUGUCAUGAAAUUCUCAACCUUUUCAGCUUUCUUUGUUGAUCAGGCUUGGAUGUGGGAGUAUGCGGGCUUCUCAGAAGUCGGCUCUCCUGAAAUGCAUUAGCGGGACCUUUGUUGCCUGGCUUUGGUGUGAUAAUUAUCUACGCCAUUGUGGUCAAGCAGCUUAAAAUGAGGUUUCAGCUUCUAACCGUCUCCCCUGAGACAACUUUUUGACAAUUUGACCUCAAAUCAGGUAGGACUACCCGCUGAACUUAAGCAUAUCAAUAAGCGGAGGA
RNAcentral lists this unclassified non-coding RNA (386 nucleotides) under soil metagenome. Its description in RNAcentral is "partial contains 5.8S ribosomal RNA, internal transcribed spacer 2, and large subunit ribosomal RNA". The stretch from base 1 to 119 matches the Rfam family "5.8S ribosomal RNA", at positions 35 to 154 of the family's 154-position model. The record is from RNAcentral.